This 292-nucleotide ribosomal RNA is filed under the name uncultured bacterium. Its description in RNAcentral is "partial 16S ribosomal RNA". It matches the Rfam family "Bacterial small subunit ribosomal RNA", at positions 505 to 796 of the family's 1533-position model. The record is from RNAcentral.
GUGCCAGCAGCCGCGGUAAUACGUAGGGUGCAAGCGUUAUCCGGAAUUAUUGGGCGUAAAGAGCUCGUAGGCGGUUUGUCGCGUCUGCUGUGAAAACUGGAGGCUCAACCUCCAGCCUGCAGUGGGUACGGGCAGACUAGAGUGCGGUAGGGGAGAUUGGAAUUCCUGGUGUAGCGGUGGAAUGCGCAGAUAUCAGGAGGAACACCGAUGGCGAAGGCAGAUCUCUGGGCCGUAACUGACGCUGAGGAGCGAAAGCAUGGGGAGCGAACAGGAUUAGAAACCCUCGUAGUCC